ACGGGAGUAGCUCAGUUGGUAGAGCACCGGUCUCCAAAACCGGGUGUCGGGAGUUCGAACCUCUCCUCCCGUGC
This 74-nucleotide transfer RNA is filed under the name Phocaeicola dorei. RNAcentral describes it as "tRNA-Trp". It matches the Rfam family "tRNA". Rfam says of the family: Transfer RNA (tRNA) molecules are approximately 80 nucleotides in length. Their secondary structure includes four short double-helical elements and three loops (D, anti-codon, and T loops). The record is from RNAcentral. Lineage: Bacteria; Pseudomonadati; Bacteroidota; Bacteroidia; Bacteroidales; Bacteroidaceae.